CCGUGCUAGACGGGGAGGUAGCGGUGCCCUGUAACUCGCAAUCCGCUGUAGCGAGGUUGAAUUCCUGUUAGAGGUUUUGUCGAUGUGAGGCUGGAGCCUAUGUGUGGUGUUGACGGUUUGGUCCUUCGCAAUAUGCGCUUAUGAACCUGGUCAGGUCCGGAAGGAAGCAGCCAUAAGUAAGUUAGCGUAUGUGCCGGAGGGAAGCCUAACCUGAGCUGUCGCAUAGGAGUGCCGCUUGGAUCGCAAUUAUCAAUAACAGGUGCACGG
RNAcentral lists this signal recognition particle RNA (267 nucleotides) under Paenibacillus agilis. Its description in RNAcentral is "signal recognition particle sRNA large type". It matches the Rfam family "Bacterial large signal recognition particle RNA". From Rfam's summary of the family: The signal recognition particle (SRP) is a universally conserved ribonucleoprotein involved in the co-translational targeting of proteins to membranes. Archaeal SRP consists of a 7S RNA and homologues of the eukaryotic SRP19 and SRP54 proteins. The record is from RNAcentral. Lineage: Bacteria; Bacillati; Bacillota; Bacilli; Caryophanales; Paenibacillaceae.